GUGGGGAAUAUUGGACAAUGGGCGCAAGCCUGAUCCAGCCAUGCCGCGUGAGUGAUGAAGGCCCUAGGGUUGUAAAGCUCUUUCACCGAUGAAGAUAAUGACGGUAGUCGGAGAAGAAGCCCCGGCUAACUUCGUGCCAGCAGCCGCGGUAAUACGAAGGGGGCUAGCGUUGUUCGGAAUUACUGGGCGUAAAGCGCACGUAGGCGGAUAUUUAAGUCAGGGGUGAAAUCCCAGAGCUCAACUCUGGAACUGCCUUUGAUACUGGGUAUCUCGAGUAUGGAAGAGGUGAGUGGAAUUCCGAGUGUAGAGGUGAAAUUCGUAGAUAUUCGGAGGAACAACAGUGGCGAAGGCGGCUCACUGGUCCAUUACUGACGCUGAGGUGCGAAAGCGUGGGGAGCAAACAGGAUUAGAUACCCGUGUAGUCC
RNAcentral lists this ribosomal RNA (425 nucleotides) under uncultured bacterium. RNAcentral describes it as "partial 16S ribosomal RNA". It matches the Rfam family "Bacterial small subunit ribosomal RNA", at positions 354 to 796 of the family's 1533-position model. The record is from RNAcentral.